GUUCCUGCAGUGCAGUGAAAAGCCCGUUGAACUUCUAAUCCAAAGGUUGUGGGUUCGAAUCUCACCUGGAAUA
Non-coding RNA from Trichonephila inaurata madagascariensis, 73 nucleotides. The record is from the annotation of a GenBank genome assembly. NCBI's taxonomy places the organism in Eukaryota, Metazoa, Arthropoda, Arachnida, Araneae, Nephilidae.